GGCAACACUACCAGAGAACAACCCCUUGGAAAAAGGUCCCAAUGAUAAUCCUAAAGAAGUAGUAGUUAAUCACAUUAUUUAGAUCAUCAAGCAUUAAUUUAUAGCUUUCCCAUAAAAAACAAUUCAUAAAUUAGAUAUGCAGAAUAUAAAAUCUGUAUGUGGUGAGCACAUCUUACAAAACAAUCAUUUGUCCUAGGAUAUUCCAUCAAAGCAACACAAAAAACAUACAAUUAUAAAGCUCAACGACGGAUAAAAUUGAUUCAUAUAUAAAAGUGUUUGUAUUACCCAGAUGAAUUCAGGACGA
RNAcentral lists this unclassified non-coding RNA (304 nucleotides) under Hevea brasiliensis (rubber tree). Lineage: Eukaryota; Viridiplantae; Streptophyta; Magnoliopsida; Malpighiales; Euphorbiaceae. The record is from RNAcentral.